GCGUCUGUAGCCUAGUUGGUAAAGGCAGCACUCUGGUACUAUGCUGAGCUCAUGGGUUCGACUCCCAUCAGACACA
Molecule: transfer RNA, 76 nt
Filed under: Uromyces viciae-fabae
Lineage: Eukaryota; Fungi; Basidiomycota; Pucciniomycetes; Pucciniales; Pucciniaceae
Description: tRNA-Thr (GGT) (tRNA-Thr-GGT-2-1)
Rfam family: tRNA
About the family: Transfer RNA (tRNA) molecules are approximately 80 nucleotides in length. Their secondary structure includes four short double-helical elements and three loops (D, anti-codon, and T loops). Further hydrogen bonds mediate the characteristic L-shaped molecular structure. tRNAs have two regions of fundamental functional importance: the anti-codon, which is responsible for specific mRNA codon recognition, and the 3' end, to which the tRNAs corresponding amino acid is attached (by aminoacyl-tRNA synthetases). tRNAs cope with the degeneracy of the genetic code in two manners: having more than one tRNA (with a specific anti-codon) for a particular amino acid; and 'wobble' base-pairing, i.e. permitting non-standard base-pairing at the 3rd anti-codon position.
Source: RNAcentral